CCUUUUUCUGAUCAAUGAAAUUGAUCUCCUCGUGAAGAAGCGAGGAUAAACAUAUAAGACGAGAAGACCCUAUGGAGCUUUAAACAACAGAUAUUUGCUAAAUCUAAACUUUAUUUCUGAAGACUAAACAAAUUAAAGCAUUUUACUCUUAAGUUUUAGGUUGGGGUGACCACGGAGAAAAAAUUAACCUCCACGUUGUAUGAAGCCCCUCGGCUUCUAAGCUAAAAGCCACAGCUUAAAGCAUCAACACAUUGACCUCCAUUGACCCAAUAAUUUGACCAACGAACCAAGUUACCCUAGGGAUAACAGCGCAAUCUACUUUGAGAGCCCAUAUCGACAAGUAGGUUUACGACCUCGAUGUU
RNAcentral lists this ribosomal RNA (362 nucleotides) under Ranitomeya ventrimaculata (Amazonian poison frog). RNAcentral's name for it is "partial 16S ribosomal RNA". It matches the Rfam family "Bacterial large subunit ribosomal RNA", at positions 2022 to 2533 of the family's 2925-position model. Lineage: Eukaryota; Metazoa; Chordata; Amphibia; Anura; Dendrobatidae. The record is from RNAcentral.